GACGAACGCUGGCGGCGUGCUUAACACAUGCAAGUCGAACGGAAAGGCCCUGCUUGCAGGGUACUCGAGUGGCGAACGGGUGAGUAACACGUGGGUGAUCUGCCCUGCACUUCGGGAUAAGCCUGGGAAACUGGGUCUAAUACCGGAUAGGAGCCAUUUUUAGUGUGAUGGUUGGAAAGUUUUUUCGGUGUAGGAUGAGCUCGCGGCCUAUCAGCUUGUUGGUGGGGUAAUGGCCUACCAAGGCGGCGACGGGUAGCCGGCCUGAGAGGGUGGACGGCCACAUUGGGACUGAGAUACGGCCCAGACUCCUACGGGAGGCAGCAGUGGGGAAUAUAGCACAAGGGGCGCAAGCCUGAUGCAGCGACGCCGCGGGGGGGAUGACGGCCUUCGGGUUGUAAACUCCGUUCGCUAGGGACGAAGCUUUUUGUGACGGUACCUAGAUAAGAAGCACCGGCUAACUACGUG
This 465-nucleotide ribosomal RNA is filed under the name uncultured bacterium. RNAcentral's name for it is "partial 16S ribosomal RNA". It matches the Rfam family "Bacterial small subunit ribosomal RNA", at positions 28 to 507 of the family's 1533-position model. The record is from RNAcentral.